RNAcentral lists this ribosomal RNA (586 nucleotides) under Caulobacteraceae bacterium. RNAcentral's name for it is "bacterial SSU rRNA". It matches the Rfam family "Bacterial small subunit ribosomal RNA", at positions 241 to 845 of the family's 1533-position model. The record is from RNAcentral. Lineage: Bacteria; Pseudomonadati; Pseudomonadota; Alphaproteobacteria; Caulobacterales; Caulobacteraceae.
UUAGCUAGUUGGUGAGGUAAAGGCUCACCAAGGCGACGAUCAGUAGCUGGUCUGAGAGGAUGAUCAGCCACAUUGGGACUGAGACACGGCCCAAACUCCUACGGGAGGCAGCAGUGGGGAAUCUUGCGCAAUGGGCGAAAGCCUGACGCAGCCAUGCCGCGUGAAUGAUGAAGGUCUUAGGAUUGUAAAAUUCUUUCACCGGGGACGAUAAUGACGGUACCCGGAGAAGAAGCCCCGGCUAACUUCGUGCCAGCAGCCGCGGUAAUACGAAGGGGGCUAGCGUUGCUCGGAAUUACUGGGCGUAAAGGGAGCGUAGGCGGACAUUUAAGUCAGGGGUGAAAUCCCGGGGCUCAACCUCGGAAUUGCCUUUGAUACUGGGUGUCUUGAGUAUGAGAGAGGUGUGUGGAACUCCGAGUGUAGAGGUGAAAUUCGUAGAUAUUCGGAAGAACACCAGUGGCGAAGGCGACACACUGGCUCAUUACUGACGCUGAGGCUCGAAAGCGUGGGGAGCAAACAGGAUUAGAUACCCUGGUAGUCCACGCCGUAAACGAUGAUUGCUAGUUGUCGGGAUGCAUGCAUUUCGGUG